This 95-nucleotide ribosomal RNA is filed under the name Hafnia paralvei. Lineage: Bacteria; Pseudomonadati; Pseudomonadota; Gammaproteobacteria; Enterobacterales; Hafniaceae. The record is from RNAcentral.
GUCCCACCUGACCCCAUGCCGAACUCAGAAGUGAAUCGCCGUAGCGCCGAUGGUAGUGUGGGGUCUCCCCAUGCGAGAGUAGGGAACUGCCAGGC